RNAcentral lists this RNase P RNA (358 nucleotides) under Mariprofundaceae bacterium. Its description in RNAcentral is "RNase P RNA component class A". It matches the Rfam family "Bacterial RNase P class A". From Rfam's summary of the family: Ribonuclease P (RNase P) is a ubiquitous endoribonuclease, found in archaea, bacteria and eukarya as well as chloroplasts and mitochondria. Lineage: Bacteria; Pseudomonadati; Pseudomonadota; Candidatius Mariprofundia; Mariprofundales; Mariprofundaceae. The record is from RNAcentral.
AGAGUAGCACAAAUGGUCGCAUGUCGUGAGGCAUGAGGAAAGUCCGGGCUACAUAGAGCAGGGUGCCAGAUAACGUCUGGAGAAGGUGACUUCAAGGAAAGUGCCACAGAAAAUAGACCGCCAGAAUAGCAAUGUUUUGGUCAGGGUGAAAAGGUGCGGUAAGAGCGCACCGCGCUGCACGGUAACGGGCAGUGGCAUGGUAAACCCCACCCGUAGCAAGGCCAAAUAGGGAAACAUAGGGUGCGGCUCGCAUGCGUUUUCGGGUAGGCUGCACGAACCUAUGAGCAAUCAUAGGUCUAGAUGAAUGACCAUUGCUGCCUCGGCAGUACAAAACCCGGCUUAUCGGGCUACUCUGCGC